RNAcentral lists this ribosomal RNA (468 nucleotides) under uncultured bacterium. Its description in RNAcentral is "partial 16S ribosomal RNA". It matches the Rfam family "Bacterial small subunit ribosomal RNA", at positions 28 to 507 of the family's 1533-position model. The record is from RNAcentral.
GACGAACGCUGGCGGCGUGCUUAACACAUGCAAGUCGAACGGAAAGGCCCUGCUUUUGUGGGGUGCUCGAGUGGCGAACGGGUGAGUAACACGUGAGUAACCUGCCCUUGACUUUGGGAUAACUUCAGGAAACUGGGGCUAAUACCGGAUAGGAGCUCCUGCUGCAUGGUGGGGUUUGGAAAGUUUCGUCGGUUGGGGAUGGACUCGCGGCUUAUCAGCUUGUUGGUGGGGUAGUGGCUUACCAAGGCUUUGACGGGUAGCCGGCCUGAGAGGGUGACCGGCCACAUUGGGACUGAGAUACGGCCCAGACUCCUACGGGAGGCAGCAGUGGGGAAUAUUGCACAAUGGGCGGAAGCCUGAUGCAGCAACGCCGCGUGCGGGAUGACGGCCUUCGGGUUGUAAACCGCUUUAGCCUGUGACGAAGCGUGAGUGACGGUAAUGGGUAAAGAAGCACCGGCUAACUACGUG